This 806-nucleotide ribosomal RNA is filed under the name Staphylococcus warneri. RNAcentral describes it as "bacterial SSU rRNA". It matches the Rfam family "Bacterial small subunit ribosomal RNA", at positions 669 to 1471 of the family's 1533-position model. Lineage: Bacteria; Bacillati; Bacillota; Bacilli; Caryophanales; Staphylococcaceae. The record is from RNAcentral.
CCAUGUGUAGCGGUGAAAUGCGCAGAGAUAUGGAGGAACACCAGUGGCGAAGGCGACUUUCUGGUCUGUAACUGACGCUGAUGUGCGAAAGCGUGGGGAUCAAACAGGAUUAGAUACCCUGGUAGUCCACGCCGUAAACGAUGAGUGCUAAGUGUUAGGGGGUUUCCGCCCCUUAGUGCUGCAGCUAACGCAUUAAGCACUCCGCCUGGGGAGUACGACCGCAAGGUUGAAACUCAAAGGAAUUGACGGGGACCCGCACAAGCGGUGGAGCAUGUGGUUUAAUUGGAAGCAACGCGAAGAACCUUACCAAAUCUUGACAUCCUUUGACCGCUCUAGAGAUAGAGUCUUCCCCUUCGGGGGACAAAGUGACAGGUGGUGCAUGGUUGUCGUCAGCUCGUGUCGUGAGAUGUUGGGUUAAGUCCCGCAACGAGCGCAACCCUUAAGCUUAGUUGCCAUCAUUAAGUUGGGCACUCUAAGUUGACUGCCGGUGACAAACCGGAGGAAGGUGGGGAUGACGUCAAAUCAUCAUGCCCCUUAUGAUUUGGGCUACACACGUGCUACAAUGGACAAUACAAAGGGCAGCUAAACCGCGAGGUCAAGCAAAUCCCAUAAAGUUGUUCUCAGUUCGGAUUGUAGUCUGCAACUCGACUACAUGAAGCUGGAAUCGCUAGUAAUCGUAGAUCAGCAUGCUACGGUGAAUACGUUCCCGGGUCUUGUACACACCGCCCGUCACACCACGAGAGUUUGUAACACCCGAAGCCGGUGGAGUAACCAUUUAUGGAGCUAGCCGUCGAAGGUGGGACAAA